GCUGGAAUAGCUCAGUAGGUUUAGAGCGUGUGGCUGUUAACCUCAAGGUCGGAGGUUCGACCCCUCCUUUCAGCG
Molecule: transfer RNA, 75 nt
Organism: Arabidopsis thaliana (thale cress)
Lineage: Eukaryota; Viridiplantae; Streptophyta; Magnoliopsida; Brassicales; Brassicaceae
Rfam family: tRNA
About the family: Transfer RNA (tRNA) molecules are approximately 80 nucleotides in length. Their secondary structure includes four short double-helical elements and three loops (D, anti-codon, and T loops).
Source: Rfam